CGAAUUCUCAACCACGUUCCGGCGUGGCUUGGACUUGGGAGCUGCUGGCGUCGAGAGACGUCGGCUCUCCUCAAACGCAUUAGCGGACCCAGCGGGUCCGGACGUGCACGGCCUAGCGUCGACGUGAUAACACACCAUCAUCGUCGUCCGGGCUGGAGCGUUCCGGUCCUGCCUCCGCUUCCAACCCUAGCGAAGGGGCCAGCUCAGCUACUAGCCUCCCCUGGCGAACGCGAGCCGGCCUCCGACCACCAUCUCGAACCCC
Molecule: unclassified non-coding RNA, 262 nt
Filed under: uncultured Strobilomyces
Lineage: Eukaryota; Fungi; Basidiomycota; Agaricomycetes; Boletales; Boletaceae
Description: sequence contains ITS2
Source: RNAcentral